This 687-nucleotide ribosomal RNA is filed under the name Rhodococcus sp. tSp14. RNAcentral describes it as "bacterial SSU rRNA". It matches the Rfam family "Bacterial small subunit ribosomal RNA", at positions 366 to 1066 of the family's 1533-position model. Lineage: Bacteria; Bacillati; Actinomycetota; Actinomycetes; Mycobacteriales; Nocardiaceae. The record is from RNAcentral.
GCCAAUGGGCGAAGCCUGAUGCAGCGACGCCGCGUGAGGGAUGACGGCCUUCGGGUUGUAAACCUCUUUCAGCAGGGACGAAGCGAAAGUGACGGUACCUGCAGAAGAAGCACCGGCCAACUACGUGCCAGCAGCCGCGGUAAUACGUAGGGUGCGAGCGUUGUCCGGAAUUACUGGGCGUAAAGAGCUCGUAGGCGGUUUGUCGCGUCGUCUGUGAAAACCAGCAGCUCAACUGCUGGCUUGCAGGCGAUACGGGCAGACUUGAGUACUGCAGGGGAGACUGGAAUUCCUGGUGUAGCGGUGAAAUGCGCAGAUAUCAGGAGGAACACCGGUGGCGAAGGCGGGUCUCUGGGCAGUAACUGACGCUGAGGAGCGAAAGCGUGGGUAGCGAACAGGAUUAGAUACCCUGGUAGUCCACGCCGUAAACGGUGGGCGCUAGGUGUGGGUUUCCUUCCACGGGAUCCGUGCCGUAGCUAACGCAUUAAGCGCCCCGCCUGGGGAGUACGGCCGCAAGGCUAAAACUCAAAGGAAUUGACGGGGGCCCGCACAAGCGGCGGAGCAUGUGGAUUAAUUCGAUGCAACGCGAAGAACCUUACCUGGGUUUGACAUAUACCGGAAAGCCGUAGAGAUACGGCCCCCCUUGUGGUCGGGUAUACAGGUGGUGCAUGGCUGUCGUCAGCUCGUUCG